GACGAACGCUGGCGGCGUGCUUAACACAUGCGAGUCGAACGGAAAGGCCCCUUUGGGGGUACUCGAGUGGCGAACGGGUGAGUAACACGUGAGUAACCUGCCCUUGACUUCGGGAUAACUUCAGGAAACUGGGGCUAAUACCGGAUAGGAAUCCUUGCUGCAUGGUGGGGGUUGGAAAGCUUCGGCGGUUUUGGAUGGACUCGCGGCUUAUCAGCUUGUUGGUGGGGUAGUGGCUUACCAAGGCUUUGACGGGUAGCCGGCCUGAGAGGGCGACCGGCCACAUUGGGACUGAGAUACGGCCCAGACUCCUACGGGAGGCAGCAGUGGGGAAUAUUGCACAAUGGGCGGAAGCCUGAUGCAGCAACGCCGCGUGCGGGAUGACGGCCUUCGGGUUGUAAACCGCUUUCAGCAGGGGCGAAGCUUGCGGUGACGGUACCUGCAGAAGAAGCACCGGCUAACUACGUG
This 465-nucleotide ribosomal RNA is filed under the name uncultured bacterium. RNAcentral's name for it is "partial 16S ribosomal RNA". It matches the Rfam family "Bacterial small subunit ribosomal RNA", at positions 28 to 507 of the family's 1533-position model. The record is from RNAcentral.